AUUGAACGCUGGCGGCAGGCCUAACACAUGCAAGUCGAGCGGGGACUUCGGUCCUAGCGGCGAACGGGUGAGUAAUGCUUGGGAAUCUGCCCAGUAGUGGGGGAUAACGUCCCGAAAGGGACGCUAAUACCGCAUACGUCCUACGGGAGAAAGAGGGGGAUCUUCGGACCUCUCGCUAUUGGAUGAGCCCAAGUCGGAUUAGCUAGUUGGUAGGGUAAUGGCCUACCAAGGCGACGAUCCGUAGCUGGUCUGAGAGGAUGAUCAGCCACACUGGAACUGAGACACGGUCCAGACUCCUACGGGAGGCAGCAGUGGGGAAUAUUGGACAAUGGGCGAAAGCCUGAUCCAGCCAUGCCGCGUGUGUGAAGAAGGCCUUCGGGUUGUAAAGCACUUUAAGCGGGGAGGAAGGUUCGCGGCCUAAUACGUCGCGGAAUUGACGUUACCCGCAGAAUAAGCACCGGCUAACUCGGUG
This 472-nucleotide ribosomal RNA is filed under the name uncultured bacterium. RNAcentral's name for it is "partial 16S ribosomal RNA". It matches the Rfam family "Bacterial small subunit ribosomal RNA", at positions 30 to 507 of the family's 1533-position model. The record is from RNAcentral.